Small nucleolar RNA from Peromyscus maniculatus bairdii (prairie deer mouse), 136 nucleotides. The record is from Ensembl. Lineage: Eukaryota; Metazoa; Chordata; Mammalia; Rodentia; Cricetidae.
UACAGUCAGGUCAAAUUCAGUCCCUGUCCCAUCAUGGCAGGAACUGGCCCAGAUGGCUGCCACAACAGAUUCUGCUGCUCAUGGGCCCUGGGUCCCCUGUCCCGGGACCUGGGGAUAAGUUUGGCUGCAGACAUUG